RNAcentral lists this ribosomal RNA (1329 nucleotides) under Papilio bootes janaka. RNAcentral describes it as "16S ribosomal RNA". Lineage: Eukaryota; Metazoa; Arthropoda; Insecta; Lepidoptera; Papilionidae. The record is from RNAcentral.
GGGGGAAAAAUUAAUAAUAAAUUAUAAAAAAAAAAUUUUUAAAAAUAUAUUUUAAUGGGGGUUAAAGUAUAUAUAUAGAAAAAAUUUAAAAAUUUAUAGUGAAAUAGUAUUAUAAAAGAAUUUAGAAAUAAGGGAGGAAUAAUUUAUAAAAAAGUAAAUUUAAUUUAUUGUAUCUUGUGUAUCAGAGUUUAUUAAUAAUAAUUAUAAAAUAAUAAUUUCUCGAAUUUAAAAGAGUUAAUUAAUUAUAAAAGUUAAUGUUAAAUAAUUAUUUUUAAUAAUUAAUUGGCAAUGAAAUGUUAAUCGUUUUUAAAAAUAUCUAGUUUUUUUAGAAAAAAAUUUAAUUUUAAAUAUUAUAUUUAAAAUUUUUAUUAAAAAAAAAUUUUAUUGGUUAAUAUUAAAUAUUUUAAGGGAUAAGCUUUAAGAUAAAUUUUUAUAAUAAAUUAUUUAAUUAUAUUAAAAUUAUAAAAUUUAAAUUGUUUUAUGAAUUAUAAUUUUUUACAAAUAAUUUAGUUUAAAUUAAAAUUUAAAAGAAAAAAUUUAAAUUUUUAUAAAAAAAUAUAUUUUAAUAAAAUAAAAUUAGAUAUAAUGAUAAAAUUAGUAUAUAAUUUUUUUAAUAAUAGAAAAAUUAUUAAAAGUUAAUAAAAGGAAUUCGGCAAAAUUUUAUAUUCACUUGUUUAUCAAAAACAUGUCUUUUUGGGAAUAAUUUAAAGUCUAAUCUGCCCACUGAUAAAUUAUUAAAGGGCUGCAGUAUUUUGACUGUACAAAGGUAGCAUAAUCAAUAGUCUCUUAAUUGGUGACUUGUAUGAAAGAUUGGAUGAAAUAUAUACUGUCUCUGGUUAAUUUAUAGAAAUUAAUUUUUUAGUAAAAAAGCUAAAAUAAUUUUAAAAGACGAGAAGACCCUAUAGAGUUUAAUAAUUUAUUUAAUUAUUAUUAAUAUAUAAUUUUUAAAAUUAAAAUUAAAUAAAUUAUUUUGUUGGGGUGACAGAAAAAUUAAAUUAACUUUUUUUAAUUAUUUACAUUAAUUUAUGGUUAAAUGAUCCAUUUAUAAUGAUUAAAAGAAAAAAUUACCUUAGGGAUAACAGCGUAAUUUUUUUUUUUAGUUCAAAUAGGAAAAAAAGUUUGCGACCUCGAUGUUGGAUUAAGAUAAAAUUUAAAUGCAAAAGUUUAAAAUUUUGAUCUGUUCGAUCAUUAAAAUCUUACAUGAUCUGAGUUCAAACCGGUGUAAGCCAGGUUGGUUUCUAUCUUUAAAUAAUUAUAAUAUUUUAGUACGAAAGGAUCAAAUAUUAAAAAUAAUUUUAAUUAAGUGAAUGUUAUUAAUAGUUAAUGAUA